UAAUUAAAAAUGGACCUUACAGUUACAGGACAAACUAACACAAGAAUUUUUCCUAACACAGUUAGGCUCGAAUCAGUAAAAUCUUGAAUACUUAAAUUUAGAAAAAUUUUGCACCAGUAACUGCCCAAAGUGAAUAGGGAAUGUAGCACAUGCUAGUUAAACAUUUUAUCAAACAUUUGAGAUGCACUGAAGCAAAAGGAGAACAACAUUACCAAUCACCAUGCUUUCGCUGUUUCAACAUCAGAGCUUCCACCUAAAUUGACCGUAUGUAAAAGAGAUUCAUUCUGUUGGGUAAGGUACGAUUCAGAGAGAGAAGAAUAAGGGGAGGAGGUAUUUACCUCUGUGCUAUCAAC
Molecule: long non-coding RNA, 353 nt
Filed under: Setaria italica (foxtail millet)
Lineage: Eukaryota; Viridiplantae; Streptophyta; Magnoliopsida; Poales; Poaceae
Description: long non-coding RNA (SITA_LNC003763)
Source: RNAcentral